RNAcentral lists this ribosomal RNA (468 nucleotides) under uncultured bacterium. Its description in RNAcentral is "partial 16S ribosomal RNA". It matches the Rfam family "Bacterial small subunit ribosomal RNA", at positions 28 to 507 of the family's 1533-position model. The record is from RNAcentral.
GACGAACGCUGGCGGCGUGCUUAACACAUGCAAGUCGAACGGAAAGGCCCUGCUUUUGUGGGGUGCUCGAGUGGCGAACGGGUGAGUAACACGUGAGUAACCUGCCCUUGACUUUGGGAUAACUUCAGGAAACUGGGGCUAAUACCGGAUAGGAGUUCCUGCUGCAUGGUGGGGGUUGGAAAGUUUCGGCGGUUGGGGAUGGACUCGCGGCUUAUCAGCUUGUUGGUGGGGUAGUGGCUUACCAAGGCUUUGACGGGUAGCCGGCCUGAGAGGGUGACCGGCCACAUUGGGACUGAGAUACGGCCCAGAAUCCUACGGGAGGCAGCAGUGGGGAAUAUUGCACAAUGGGCGGAAGCCUGAUGCAGCAACGCCGCGUGCGGGAUGACGGCCUUCGGGUUGUAAACCGCUUUCGCCUGUGACGAAGCGUGAGUGACGGUAAUGGGUAAAGAAGCACCGGCUAACUACGUG